GGCUCGGUGGUGGGCGGCCCACAUUUGCUCCACCUUACAGGUUUCUGGUUUCUGUAGCAUGAAGUAAAAGGCGCCGGUUCGACUCCGGCCUAAGCCA
Mycena galopus ATCC 62051 is the source of this 97-nucleotide non-coding RNA. NCBI's taxonomy places the organism in Eukaryota, Fungi, Basidiomycota, Agaricomycetes, Agaricales, Mycenaceae. The record is from the annotation of a GenBank genome assembly.